Molecule: ribosomal RNA, 253 nt
Filed under: uncultured bacterium
Lineage: Bacteria
Description: partial 16S ribosomal RNA
Rfam family: Bacterial small subunit ribosomal RNA
Source: RNAcentral
UACGUAGGGCGCAAGCGUUGCUCGGAAUUACUGGGCGUAAAGGGCGCGUAGGCGGGAUGGCAAGUCGGUCGUGAAAUCCCUCGGCUCAACCGAGGAACGUCGAUCGAUACUGCUGUUCUUGAGGAUUGCAGAGGAGACUGGAAUUCCCGGUGUAGCGGUGAAAUGUGUAGAGAUGUGGAGGAACACCGAUGGCGAAGGCAGCCCCCUGGGCUAACACUGACGCUCAGGCACGAAAGCGUGGGGAGCAAACAGG